AUUGAACGCUGGCGGCAUGCUUUACACAUGCAAGUCGAACGGUAACAGGCCGCAAGGUGCUGACGAGUGGCGAACGGGUGAGUAAUGCAUCGGAACGUGCCCAGUCGUGGGGGAUAACUACUCGAAAGAGUAGCUAAUACCGCAUACGAUCUAUGGAUGAAAGCGGGGGACCGUAAGGCCUCGCGCGAUUGGAGCGGCCGAUGUCAGAUUAGGUAGUUGGUGGGGUAAAGGCUCACCAAGCCAACGAUCUGUAGCUGGUCUGAGAGGACGACCAGCCACACUGGGACUGAGACACGGCCCAGACUCCUACGGGAGGCAGCAGUGGGGAAUUUUGGACAAUGGGCGCAAGCCUGAUCCAGCAAUGCCGCGUGCAGGAAGAAGGCCUUCGGUUGUAAACUGCUUUUGUACGGAACGAAACGGCUCUGGUUAAUACCCGGGGCUAAUGACGGUACCGUAAGAAUAAGCACCGGCUAACUGCGUG
Molecule: ribosomal RNA, 481 nt
Filed under: uncultured bacterium
Lineage: Bacteria
Description: partial 16S ribosomal RNA
Rfam family: Bacterial small subunit ribosomal RNA
Source: RNAcentral